RNAcentral lists this ribosomal RNA (573 nucleotides) under Stenotrophomonas sp. RNAcentral's name for it is "partial 16S ribosomal RNA". It matches the Rfam family "Bacterial small subunit ribosomal RNA", at positions 464 to 1027 of the family's 1533-position model. Lineage: Bacteria; Pseudomonadati; Pseudomonadota; Gammaproteobacteria; Lysobacterales; Lysobacteraceae. The record is from RNAcentral.
GGGCCAUGACCGGUCCCUGACAAGAAGCACCGGCUAACUUCCUGCCCGCGGCCCCGGUGAUUCCAAAGGUGCAAGCGUUACUCGGAAUUACUGGGCGUAAAGGGGGCGGAAGCCGUCGGUUAAGUCCUGUGUGUAAGCCCUGGGCUUAACCCGGGGACUGCAACGGAUACCGGGGGAACUGGGUGGGGAAAAGGGAAGUGGGAUUUCCUGGGGGUAACAGUAAAAUGCGUAAAGUUUAGGAAGAACAUCCAUGGCGAAGGUCGCUUCCUGGACCAACACUUACACUCAGGCUCGAAUGCCUGGGGAGCAAACAGGAUUAAAUACCCUGGUUGUCCACGCCCUAAACCAUUAGUACUGGGUGUUGGGGGGCUUUUUGGCCCGCAAUAGCGGAUCUUACGUGUUAACUUCCCCCCCUGGGGAAAACUUUCGCGAGACUUAAUCUCAGGGGGCUUGACGGGGGCCCCCCAAAAGCAGCAGAAUAUGUGUUUAUAACUUCCAUGGCGCGCUUAAAAACCUUACCCGGCCUUGAAGUCUCCCAGAACUUUCAAGAGAUAGGGUGGGCCCCUCUGGGAA